UUCUGACCUCGAAUCAGGUGGGACUACCCGCUGAACUUAAGCAUAUCAAUAAGCGGAGGAAAAGAAACUAACAAGGAUUCCCCUAGUAACGGCGAGUGAAGUGGGAUGAGCUCAAAUUUAAAAUCUGGUAGUCUUUGGCUGCCCGAGUUGUAAUCUAGAGAAGUGUUUUCUGUGCUGGACUGUGUUCAAGUUUCCUGGAUAUGGAACAUCAUAGAGGGUGAGAAUCCCGUCCUUGACACAGAUUCCCUAGUGCUCUGUGAUGCACUCUCAACGAGUCGAGUUGUUUGGGA
RNAcentral lists this ribosomal RNA (290 nucleotides) under Hydnum orientalbidum. Its description in RNAcentral is "partial 28S ribosomal RNA". It matches the Rfam family "Eukaryotic large subunit ribosomal RNA", at positions 1 to 279 of the family's 3401-position model. The record is from RNAcentral. Lineage: Eukaryota; Fungi; Basidiomycota; Agaricomycetes; Cantharellales; Hydnaceae.